Unclassified non-coding RNA from Myotis lucifugus (little brown bat), 288 nucleotides. Its record names the gene 7SK. It matches the Rfam family "7SK RNA". From Rfam's summary of the family: 7SK was discovered as an abundant small nuclear RNA in the mid-70s but a possible function has only recently been suggested. Two independent studies have found that 7SK RNA binds the CDK9/cyclin T complex (known as elongation factor P-TEFb). The record is from Ensembl. NCBI's taxonomy places the organism in Eukaryota, Metazoa, Chordata, Mammalia, Chiroptera, Vespertilionidae.
GGAUAUGAGGGUGACCUGGCUGUAACAUCAGUCACCCCAUUGAUUGCCAGGGUUGAUUCAGCUGACCUGGCUGGCUAGGCAGAUGUCCCCUUCCCCCCUCACUGAUCCAUGUGCAUUACUGCCGAAGCUGUGAGCUCAGUCAAAGAGGACGACUUUCCCUCCAGAGGAGAGCACUGGUCUUUAGUCAAGGGUACAUGUUCCCCUUCUAGAAACUCCAAACAAGCUCUCAAAUUACUUUCCGAGUCUAAGUCUUGCCUCACUGGUCUGACUGAAAUUCCUGUGGACAUU